Molecule: long non-coding RNA, 2819 nt
Organism: Nematostella vectensis (starlet sea anemone)
Lineage: Eukaryota; Metazoa; Cnidaria; Anthozoa; Actiniaria; Edwardsiidae
Exons: 2
Source: RefSeq, a predicted model, not a curated record
GCGUUUCCUAGGGUCAGGCUAUUUUUAGACGCACGGAUUAGCCAAUCAGAUGACAGGACGGAAAAAAAUUGACUUUGUCUCAAGGAAUCCAAAAUGGCGGCCGGGAAGGGGGAAAACGACGCUUGCUUUUCAAAGUCUUCCUACGUCGUCAAAUGCCUUUUUAUUUCUGGAUCCUUUUUGUCGCAGAGAAAGAAACAUUUAAUUACUAGCCUUGGACUAUUUAUUUCUCCAUAAGUGGACUCAAACGUUGUUAAGAGGACGUUUUUUCUUGCUCUUGCAAAGCAAUAAAUUCGAAAAUAAGUGAUCAUUUGUUUCGAUCUCGAAAUUCUCUCGCUGAGAGGCCAUAUUCUCAUUCAUAAGGUGUUUGAUACUGCUAGUUAACUAACAAUAGUGUAAGAAGUAACAUACGGAAGUUUAUGUUUUUUGUUUUACAUUUAUAUUAAACCAGCUCUUCAAAACUGUAAGUAAUUGUGUUUGUAUAAGAAAGAAUUUAGUCAUGAUACGCAUGAAUAUCAACACUAAUGACCUGCCCUCGACUCAACUUGCCCUGAUCUGGUAAGAAAUUGUAAAAAAUAAUCAUGUUUAAGUAUAAAAGGCAACUUCAAUAUGAAUUACAUUUGUGUGCGUGUUUUUUUUUGUAAAUUCUUUUUCCAUUUAAGCUUAAUUCGAAAAUUGAUACUUACUUAUUUAACUUAUAAUCUGUUAGGAAUACUUACAGUAUUACAUACUUGUGGUAUCUUAAUUUGUUCAAAUUUGACUUUCUUUUGAAUGACUUCUUGGCUGUCUAGAAAUCAUAAUAAGAUUUAAAUCAUUGCAAAAAAGGCCAGGAGUGUAUCUGUCAUCCUGGCUUGUAAUAAGACUAUAGUAAUGGCUCUUCUAAAAUCUUUCGAAAAAGUUCUUGAUGGAAAGACGAUGCUGUCACUCAAACAGUUUCAGGCUCUUGAAAUGUUUGUGGAUCACUUGGGGAAAUGGACUGAAAGAAUUUACAACGAAACAAAUAUUCAGAGGAAGGAUAUAGAAAUGUCAUGAUCAAUGUAGAUGAGGCUAAUAUAUAAGUUACAAUAAAAAAAUUCAAUUUUUUAGUGCACAUGCCUAGAAAGUAAUAGCUGUUCAAACAUUCCAUUUUGGUUUGAAUGUAUCAAAUAACAUUUGACCAAGAAUUCUGCAAAGCCCUCCCAUAACAACAUUAGGUUAACAUAUUCACCCUUUAUAGCUACCAACUCCUUUGCUAUAGCUUAAAAAUACCCUUAUUAUUUGCUGGUUUGAUAAGAUGUCGAGAAUCAAGGCAAAUAAGUCAAUAGCUUGGACAAUAUAAUAUAAUACACAUUCUCUCUAUCCUCUCUUUCUUUGGAAAGUCAAAUUUGAAUAAAGUAAGUUAUUCAUAACAGAUCAUAAAUAACAAGUAUAUAUUUUCGAAUUCAAUGGAAAUAGAAUUUACAAAAAGACACAAACAUCCAUAUUGAGGUUGCCUUUUAUGUUAGUAUACUUUUAAAUGGAUAUUUCUUACAAUUUCUUACCAGAUCAGGACAGUCAGUCCAGGACAGGUCACUGGUGUUGAUACAAACACAGUCCAGCUUUGAAGAGCUCGUUUAAUAUAAAUAUUUAACAAAAACAAAACAUAAACUUUUGUAUGUUACUUCUUACACUUUUGUAGCAACAUUUGAGUCCACUUAUAAAAAAAAUAGUCCAAGGCUAGUAAGAAAAUGUUUCUUUCUCUGUGGCUAAAAGGGUUCAGAAAUUAGGAGGCAUAUGACGAUGUAGGAAGACUUUGAAAAGCAAGCGUCGUUUUCCCCCUUAUCGGCCGCCAUUUUGGAUUCCUUAAACACGAAGGCGCGGUAUAAAAGGGUGCUUCCAUUGGAAGCAUCGGCUCAUUUGUCAAUCAACCGCCGUGGAGUGAGGAUCAAAUUCAAGAUGGCGGCAAAAGUCAAGUACAAAAUGCAGAGGGGAGAGGUUUCAAAGCGCUUCCUGAUGUAUAAGAAUGCCAACUCUACCACUAGUCCGAUAGAAUGUGUAAAAAAAGGAAACUCAGUAGAAAUAAAGCUACGAAACCAUCGUGGUUUACGCAAAAAAACGGGCAAACGCAUGACCAGAAAACAACGAUUUCAAACCUCGAAAAAAGCUAUACCCAAGACGCAUAUCAUGGUGACAUCUGAAUAAUCAACAAGAUAUAUUCUUCAAGAAAAAGCAGAUACAUAGACAUAUACAGUAUUACAUUUUCCCUGUGAUUUUAAAUCAUAAACAUUUCUUUAUAAGGAAACAUGUUCCGUUGAUAUGAAAUUGAUUUAUGUUACUGAAGUGUUUAGCCACCAGUCAUGUUUUAUAAGUUAUAAAUUAUACUAUAAAUAUAAUAGACCAAAAUGCCUUGUCUUUUAGCCAUUCAUUCUUACAGUAAAAGCAAGUAUAGAGACAGGGCGGAGGGAUAUUCAUUGAAUCAAAACGGUAAAAGUCAUGUCUCUAUUUUGUAUAAUUCAACUUAUAAAGUAUAAAACAUAUGUUUGGGCAACCCCUUUAUAAAACUAAGGAUCCAGACCCUUUUUCGACAAAUAGAAACACAAAGCUAAUUCAAUUGUUAUUAUUUGUAGUCAUCAUAGAUUGCAAGAUAAAAACAAAAUACUAUACAGAUGCAUUCUGAUCCAAAAAGUAGAAAGAUAGACUCAAUUAUGGCUCCAACUCACUUAGAUGGAUAUCAGGCAUUUCUUUAGUAGCCCUUUAGUUGUUUGGUGUACAUAUAUGUGUAAGUAUACAAGCUGAGACAUUGUACAAAGAGUUUUCUGCUGUUUCUGUGAGCCAGUUAUGCACAAUAGAAACAAAUAUCGAAA